GACGAACGCUGGCGGCGUGCUUAACACAUGCAAGUCGAACGGAAAGGCCCUGCUUGCAGGGUGCUCGAGUGGCGAACGGGUGAGUAACACGUGGGUGAUCUGCCCCUUACUUUGGGAUAGCCUGGGAAACUGGGUCUAAUACUGGAUAGGACCAUGCUGUAGGUGGUGUGGUGGAAAGAUUAGUUUCGGUAAGGGAUGAGCUCGCGGCCUAUCAGCUUGUUGGUGGGGUAAUGGCCUACCAAGGCGUCGACGGGUAGCCGGCCUGAGAGGGUGGACGGCCACAUUGGGACUGAGAUACGGCCCAGACUCCUACGGGAGGCAGCAGAGGGGAAUAUUGCACAAUGGGCGCAAGCCUGAUGCAGCGACGCCGCGUGGGGGAUGACGGCCUUCGGGUUGUAAACUCCUUUCAGCCAUGACGAAGCCCUUGUGGUGACGGUAGUGGUAGAAGAAGCACCGGCUAACUACGUG
This 468-nucleotide ribosomal RNA is filed under the name uncultured bacterium. Its description in RNAcentral is "partial 16S ribosomal RNA". It matches the Rfam family "Bacterial small subunit ribosomal RNA", at positions 28 to 507 of the family's 1533-position model. The record is from RNAcentral.